RNAcentral lists this ribosomal RNA (450 nucleotides) under uncultured bacterium. RNAcentral describes it as "partial 16S ribosomal RNA". It matches the Rfam family "Bacterial small subunit ribosomal RNA", at positions 354 to 796 of the family's 1533-position model. The record is from RNAcentral.
GUGGGGAAUUUUGGACAAUGGGCGCAAGCCUGAUCCAGUCAUUCCGCGUGCAGGAUGAAGGCCUUCGGGUUGUAAACUGCUUUUGUACGGAACGAAAAGCCUCUGGUUAAUACCCGGGGGUCAUGACGGUACCGUAAGAAUAAGCACCGGCUAACUACGUGCCAGCAGCCGCGGUAAUACGUAGGGUGCGAGCGUUAAUCGGAAUUACUGGGCGUAAAGCGUGCGCAGGCGGUGAUGUAAGACAGUUGUGAAAUCCCCGGGCUCAACCUGGGAACUGCAUCUGUGACUGCAUUGCUGGAGUGCGGCAGAGGGGGAUGGAAUUCCGCGUGUAGCAGUGAAAUGCGUAGAUAUAACACAGAACACCGAUUGCGAAGGCAGCUUACUGGAAUGCAACUGACGCUCAUGCACGAAAGCGUGGGGAUCAAACAGGAUUAGAUACCCCGGUAGUCC